Molecule: ribosomal RNA, 423 nt
Filed under: Verrucomicrobiota bacterium
Lineage: Bacteria; Pseudomonadati; Verrucomicrobiota
Description: Verrucomicrobia bacterium partial 16S ribosomal RNA
Rfam family: Bacterial small subunit ribosomal RNA
Source: RNAcentral
UGAGGAAUAUUGGUCAAUGGGCGAGAGCCUGAACCAGCCAAGUAGCGUGCAGGAUGACGGCCCUAUGGGUUGUAAACUGCUUUUAUAUGGGAAUAAAGUGAGGGACGUGUCCCUUAUUGCAUGUACCAUACGAAUAAGGACCGGCUAAUUCCGUGCCAGCAGCCGCGGUAAUACGGAAGGUCCAGGCGUUAUCCGGAUUUAUUGGGUUUAAAGGGAGCGUAGGCUGUUUGUUAAGCGUGUUGUGAAAUGUAGGAGCUCAACUUUUAGAUUGCAGCGCGAACUGCAGACUUGAGUGCGCACAACGUAGGCGGAAUUCAUGGUGUAGCGGUGAAAUGCUUAGAUAUCAUGACGAACUCCGAUUGCGAAGGCAGCUUACGGGAGCGCAACUGACGCUAAAGCUCGAAGGUGCGGGUAUCGAACAGG